RNAcentral lists this long non-coding RNA (519 nucleotides) under Nicotiana tabacum (common tobacco). RNAcentral's name for it is "long non-coding RNA (NTAB_LNC000521)". Lineage: Eukaryota; Viridiplantae; Streptophyta; Magnoliopsida; Solanales; Solanaceae. The record is from RNAcentral.
AUUCAGUCAGCAUCAGGGCUUCAACCCUAAACUGAACUCUUUCCAUUUAGCCAGCAUUAGGGCUUCAACCCUGAACUGAACCUUUCCAUUCAGUCAGCAUCAGGGCUCCAACCCUGAAUUGAACUCUUUCCAUUUAGCCAGCAUUAGGGCUUCAACCCUAAACUGAGCAUUGUCUGUUAGUCAGCAUUGGGGUUCCAACCCUGAACUGAACUUUUCCAUUCAGUCAGCAUCAGGGCUUCAACCCUGAACUGAACUCUUUCCAUUUAGCCAGCAUUAGGGCUUCAACCCUGAACUGAGCAUUGUCUGUUAGUCAGCAUUGGGGUUCCAACCUUGAACUGAACUUUUCCAUUUAGUCAGCAUCAGGUCUCCAACCCUGAACUGAACUCUUUCCAUUUAGCCAGCAUUAGGGCUCCACCCUGAACUGAGCAUUGUCCGUUAGUCAGCAUUGGGGCUCCAACCCUGAACUGAACUUUUCCAUUUAAUCCGCAUCAGGGCUCCAACCCUGAACUGAACUCUUUC